UCAGGAUGAACGCUAGCUACAGGCUAACACAUGCAAGUCAGGGGCAGCAUGUGGUUGCUGCAACCAAUGAUGGCGACCGGCGGCACGGGUGAGUAACGCGUAUCCAACCUCCCCUUAGUAGGGGAUAGCCCGGCGAAAGUCGGAUUAAUACUCUAUGUUCUUCAAUGCGGACAUCUAAGUUGAAGCAAAGAUUUAUCGCUAAGGGAUGGGGAUGCGUCUGAUUAGGUUGCAGGCGGGGUAACGGCCCACCUGGCCUACGAUCAGUAGGGGUUCUGAGAGGAAGGUCCCCCACACUGGUACUGAGACACGGACCAGACUCCUACGGGAGGCAGCAGUGAGGAAUAUUGGUCAAUGGGCGCGAGCCUGAACCAGCCAAGUAGCGUGCAGGACGAACCUGCCCUAUGGGUUGUAAACUGCUUUUAUCAGGGAAUAAAGUGAGGCACGCGUGCCUUUUUGUUAUGUACCUGAUGAAUAAGGACCGGCUAAUUCCGUGCCAGCAGCUGC
RNAcentral lists this ribosomal RNA (504 nucleotides) under uncultured bacterium. RNAcentral's name for it is "bacterial SSU rRNA". It matches the Rfam family "Bacterial small subunit ribosomal RNA", at positions 24 to 518 of the family's 1533-position model. The record is from RNAcentral.